This 253-nucleotide ribosomal RNA is filed under the name uncultured bacterium. RNAcentral describes it as "partial 16S ribosomal RNA". It matches the Rfam family "Bacterial small subunit ribosomal RNA", at positions 524 to 776 of the family's 1533-position model. The record is from RNAcentral.
CACGGGGGGAGCAAGCGUUGUUCGGAAUCACUGGGCGUAAAGGGCGUGUAGGCGGUCAGGUAAGUGGAAUGUGAAAGCCCUCGGCUCACCCGAGGAUCUGCAUUCCAAACUGCCUGGCUUGAGUAUGGGAGAGGAUGAGGGAAUUCCUGGUGUAGCGGUGAAAUGCGUAGAUAUCAGGAGGAACACCGGUGGCGAAGGCGCUCAUCUGGCCCAAUACUGGCGCCGAGGCGCGAAAGCUAGGGGAGCAAACGGG